RNAcentral lists this long non-coding RNA (427 nucleotides) under Fukomys damarensis (Damara mole-rat). RNAcentral describes it as "lncRNA (ENSFDAG00000022557.1)". The record is from RNAcentral. Lineage: Eukaryota; Metazoa; Chordata; Mammalia; Rodentia; Bathyergidae.
GUGUGAAUGAAUCUUUGCACCUUUCUCUAGCAAGCUGAUCAACAUCUGGUCUAAGAUAUUAUUCUUCAGCACUGCGAUGGAGGGUUUGUGAGGUCCACAUCAGCUCACUAUUGCUUCUUCCAAGAUGCCUGGCUUGUGCCACAGAGAAUUGCUCAGACUUACUCAGUAGGGGAGAAGUCAUCUCUGCAGGAAAUCCGAAAUAUACUCAAGCUAACAGUGUGUAUUUCCAGAGAGAACAAGCUAAUUCCAACAUUAUUUCUCAUCCCCUGGGCAUCACCGAGCACCUACUGUUAGACAUUGUGCCAGCCACUGAAGAAUGGAUGGUCAGAGUAUGGCGAAGAAGAUAAAGAGGGACAGCAUGCUGUGAGAUGAGACACACACCUACAUAACUAAUGGGAUAUAAAAAGGAUCGUCGGAGAGGGGCGCA